GGGGAAUAUUGCACAAUGGGGGAAACCCUGAUGCAGCGACGCCGCGUGAGCGAAGAAGUAUUUCGGUAUGUAAAGCUCUAUCAGCAGGGAAGAUAAUGACGGUACUCAACAAGGAAGUGACGGCUAACUACGUGCCAGCAGCCGCGGUAAAACGUAGGUCACAAGCGUUGUCCGGAAUUACUGGGUGUAAAGGGAGCGCAGGCGGGAAGACAAGUUGGAAGUGAAAUCUAUGGGCUCAACCCAUAAACUGCUUUCAAAACUGUUUUUCUUGAGUAGUGCAGAGGUAGGCGGAAUUCCCGGUGUAGCGGUGGAAUGCGUAGAUAUCGGGAGGAACACCAGUGGCGAAGGCGGCCUACUGGGCACCAACUGACGCUGAGGCUCGAAAGUGUGGGUAGCAAACAGGAUUAGAUACCCUGGUAGUCCACGCUGUAAACGAUGAUUACUAGGUGUGGGGGGUCUGACCCCUUCCGUGCCGGAGUUAACACAAUAAGUAAUCCACCUGGGGAGUACGGCCGCAAGGUUGAAACUCAAAGGAAUUGACGGGGGCCCGCACAAGCAGUGGAGUAUGUGGUUUAAUUCGAAGCAACGCGAAGAACCUUACCAGGUCUUGACAUCGGAUGCAUACCUAAGAGAUUAGGGAAGUCCUUCGGGACAUCCAGACAGGUGGUGCAUGGUUGUCGUCAGCUCGUGUCGUGAGAUGUUGGGUUAAGUCCCGCAACGAGCGCAACCCUUAUCGUUAGUUACUACGCAAGAGGACUCUAGCGAGACUGCCGUUGACAAAACGGAGGAAGGUGGGGAUGACGUCAAAUCAUCAUGCCCUUUAUGACCUGGGCUACACACGUACUACAAUGGCUAUUAACAGAGAGAAGCGAUACCGCGAGGUGGAGCAAACCUCACAAAAAUAGUCUCAGUUCGGAUCGCAGGCUGCAACCCGCCUGCGUGAAGCCGGAAUUGCUAGUAAUCGCGGAUCAGCAUGCCGCGGUGAAUACGUUCCCG
This 996-nucleotide ribosomal RNA is filed under the name uncultured bacterium. RNAcentral's name for it is "bacterial SSU rRNA". It matches the Rfam family "Bacterial small subunit ribosomal RNA", at positions 356 to 1376 of the family's 1533-position model. The record is from RNAcentral.